UCCAACUGUUGUCCGUUCAUCGUCGAGGUGUGCGACGAGGAGAUCCAUCGUUGUUGAAGGUGGCUGGUUUCUUCUUCUCCAUUCACGAUCGUUGCUGUGGGCCAGUGUGAGAUUCUUCCCCUCCUCUGUUUGCAUCGCCAAUUUUCUCCUUUUCGUGUGUCUUGCAGCUUCGUUACACAGGGGAUCUGGACCCCUUUCUUCCUCCCCUGUUUUCAGACUUCUUCCUCUUCUUCUCUGCUUUGUCGUGGCUGAUUUGAGGGCAUCGGAUUCAUCUCUGUUUCUUCUUUCUGUCCACCGCCAGCGUGCUCCUCUGUGGUUCUUCACCGUCAACCCAUUCGUUUAGUUCCCUCAUCGGUUGCAGAUGCUUACCGUCGAUCUGUGCUCCUUCUCGCCGUCGCAUCUCUGCCUGAGAGUCAUCAGAAUUUUUUUUUCUUCUUCUCCUUUUCUUAUUUGAAUGACAUAACCCGUGAAAGUGAUAGAGAGAGAGAGAGCAUCCGACAUUUUUCUUUUUUUUCCCCCUUCACCAUCGAUCUGCUUUUCUGUACCUCAUCAUCAACUUCCCUCUUUGCCGCUGUUUUCAUCCGUUGCUCUUCUCUCCGUUCACGUCGUCGGCUGCUGUGGGGGUAGAAUCACCGAAUACUCCUCCCUUGUCAUUCUCCUCUGCUUUUUCCUUGGUUUGUGAUGGCUUGUGUAUGUGUGUCAUCUUCAACUUCUCUUCCUCCUCAUCCUCAGUUCUAGCCAUCGUGUGAUUGCAUAACUUCAUGCUGAGGCACGCAUACUCAUAAAGCGGAGAAUCAGAGUCAGAAGGUGGAUAAGAGGAGAUGCUCCAACAAGGUGGUCAAGAAAGGAUUGAGGAGGAAGAAGUGCGUCAUUGAGAGAAGAACAUGUGUAAAGGUUUUGGUCAAAUUUCAUUUUUAACAGUCACGUUUUCCAGAUUUAAUGGUAGGAUGAUACUGCACUAUUUUUGAAAGUUCUGGAGAAAUAUUGUUUUAAAAAAGUUUAAGAUACUAAACAUCAUAAAAAAAAGUUUUAAAAUAUUUUUACCCUUUAACUAUUUUUUAAUGUUUCUUUUGGGCUUGUUGCCCAUUAUCUUAUGAGGGGAAAAAAAAAAGGAAAUUGAGAAGCAUGAGCCCAUUGGAAGUUCAAAUUAGAGGACCCCUCUUUUCAUAAGCCCAUUUGUUUAAAAAGGCAAAACACUUGAAAAUAGAUUGGGUUUGCAUUGUUAAAAAGUAUGGUGAAAAAGGUAAUAAGCGUUUUGGUUCUAACUAGUUAGAGGAAAACUCAUUUGGUCUGUCUCCUUGUUAUAGAGUUUGCGUGGAUAGAGGUCAGAUUAUUAGGAACACCCUCUUCACUAAUUCCAAGAGGAAGAGAAGUGAUACAUGUUGUUCAUUUUAAAUUAAUGAACAUAGAAUGUGUAUCCCUUCAUCAUUUUCAUGGGUGCUCUUUAUUUUAUCUUGAAAUGAUACAUGUUAUUCAAAGAGUUGAUGAGUAUAUGGAUUGCAUGGAGGCUAUUUUCUUGA
Long non-coding RNA from Prosopis cineraria, 1520 nucleotides. RefSeq lists it as uncharacterized. NCBI's taxonomy places the organism in Eukaryota, Viridiplantae, Streptophyta, Magnoliopsida, Fabales, Fabaceae. The transcript has 3 exons. The record is from RefSeq and is a predicted model, not a curated record.